RNAcentral lists this ribosomal RNA (982 nucleotides) under uncultured Brevibacterium sp. RNAcentral's name for it is "partial 16S ribosomal RNA". It matches the Rfam family "Bacterial small subunit ribosomal RNA", at positions 39 to 1043 of the family's 1533-position model. Lineage: Bacteria; Bacillati; Actinomycetota; Actinomycetes; Micrococcales; Brevibacteriaceae. The record is from RNAcentral.
GAGGCAUGUAGACGUGCGAGUCGAGCGAAUCGACGGGAGCUUGCUCCCUGAGAUUAGCGGCGGACGGGUGAGUAACACGUGGGCAACCUGCCUAUAAGACUGGGAUAACUUCGGGAAACCGGAGCUAAUACCGGAUACGUUCUUUUCUCGCAUGAGAGAAGAUGGAAAGACGGUUUACGCUGUCACUUAUAGAUGGGCCCGCGGCGCAUUAGCUAGUUGGUGAGGUAAUGGCUCACCAAGGCGACGAUGCGUAGCCAACCUGAGAGGGUGAUCGGCCACACUGGGACUGAGACACGGCCCAGACUCCUACGGGAGGCAGCAGUAGGGAAUCUUCCGCAAUGGACGAAAGUCUGACGGAGCAACGCCGCGUGAACGAAGAAGGCCUUCGGGUCGUAAAGUUCUGUUGUUAGGGAAGAACAAGUACCAGAGUAACUGCUGGUACCUUGACGGUACCUAACCAGAAAGCCACGGCUAACUACGUGCCAGCAGCCGCGGUAAUACGUAGGUGCAAGCGUUGUCCGGAAUUAUUGGGCGUAAAGCGCGCGCAGGUGGUUCCUUAAGUCUGAUGUGAAAGCCCACGGCUCAACCGUGGAGGGUCAUUGAAACUGGAGAACUUGAGUGCAGAAGAGAAAGUGGAUUCCAGUGUAGCGAUAAAUGCGUAGAGUUUGGAGAACACCAGUGGCGAAGCGACUUUUGGUCUGAAAUUAAACUGAGCGCGAAAGCGGGGGGGCAAACGGAUUAAUCCCCGGGUGCCCCCCCGAAAACAAGGGGCCAAGGUUAAGGGGUUCCCCCCCUUUGGGGCGGCAAAAGAAAAAAACCCCCCCCCGGGGAAUACGCCCCGGGGUUAAUCUCAAAGAAUUGGGGGCCCCCCCAAAGGGGUGAACUUUUUUUUUUUCGAACCCCGGAAAAACUUUAGGGGUUUGGAACCCUUUAAAAACCCGGGAAAGGGCUUCUCCCUUCGGGAAAAAAAAAAAAGGGGCCC